GGCUCAGGACGAACGCUGGCGGCACGCUUAACACAUGCAAGUCGAACGGAGUUAUCGAGAGCUUGCUUUGAUAACUAGUGGCGGACGGGUGAGUAACACGUGAGCAAUCUGCCCUUAAGAGGGGGAUAGCAGUUGGAAACGACUGAUAAUACCGCAUAAGAUAGUAGUACCGCAUGGUACAGCUAUAAAAGAUUUAUCGCUUAAGGAUGAGCUCGCGUCUGAUUAGCUAGUUGGUGAGGUAACGGCUCACCAAGGCAACGAUCAGUAGCCGGACUGAGAGGUUGGACGGCCACAUUGGGACUGAGACACGGCCCAGACUCCUACGGGAGGCAGCAGUGGGGAAUAUUGCACAAUGGAGGAAACUCUGAUGCCAGCGAUGCCGCGUGAGGGAAGAAGGUUUUAGGAUUGUAAACCUCUGUUGACAGGGACGAUAAUGACGGUACCUGUUGAGGAAGCUCCGGCUAACUACGUGCCAGCAGCGGC
This 483-nucleotide ribosomal RNA is filed under the name uncultured bacterium. RNAcentral's name for it is "bacterial SSU rRNA". It matches the Rfam family "Bacterial small subunit ribosomal RNA", at positions 21 to 518 of the family's 1533-position model. The record is from RNAcentral.